GUAGGGAAUAUUGGGCAAUGGAUGCAAGUCUGACCCAGCCAUGCCGCGUGGAGGAAGAAGGUCCUCUGGAUUGUAAACUCCUUUUUUGGGGGAAGAAUAGUUCUCUUGCGAGGGAAUGUGACGGUACCCUAACAAUAAGCCACGGCUAACUACGUGCCAGCAGCCGCGGUAAUACGUAGGUGGCAAGCGUUGUCCGGAUUUAUUGGGUUUAAAGGGUGCGUAGGUGGUUUGAUAAGUCAGUGGUGAAAGCUGGUUGCUCAACAAUCAAGUUGCCAUUGAUACUGUCGGACUUGAGAGAAGUGGAGGUUCAUGGAAUGGAUGGUGUAGCGGUGAAAUGCAUAGAUAUCAUCCAGAACGUCGAUUGCGAAGGCAGUGGGCUGUACUUUAUCUGACACUGAGGCACGAAAGUGUGGGGAUCAAACAGGAUUAGAUACCCCAGUAGUCC
This 445-nucleotide ribosomal RNA is filed under the name uncultured bacterium. Its description in RNAcentral is "partial 16S ribosomal RNA". It matches the Rfam family "Bacterial small subunit ribosomal RNA", at positions 354 to 796 of the family's 1533-position model. The record is from RNAcentral.